AACGCACCUUGCACUCCUUGGUAUUCCAUGGAGUAUGCCUGUUUGAGUGUCAUGAACAUCUCAACUGCUUUGACUUUUUUUUGUCAAAAGUGAAGUUGGACUUGGAGGACAAGUGCUGGCGCAAGCAUCUGCUUGCUUGUUGGCUCCUCUUCAAUGCAUGAAUGGCUUUCCUUGAGCGGGACAGACCGAUGUGAUAAGUAUAUUCAUUGGAAUGUCUGCUUUUGAAAAGAAAAAGCUUUAUUGCAUCAUAUAUCAAAUCAUCUGACCUCAAAUCAGGUAGGACUACCCGCUGAACUUAA
This 299-nucleotide unclassified non-coding RNA is filed under the name uncultured fungus. Its description in RNAcentral is "sequence contains ITS2". Lineage: Eukaryota; Fungi. The record is from RNAcentral.